UGUUGGUUAAACCCCCUCCUCUACUAC
Molecule: transfer RNA, 27 nt
Filed under: Alytes obstetricans boscai
Lineage: Eukaryota; Metazoa; Chordata; Amphibia; Anura; Alytidae
Also listed under: 1 other name
Description: partial tRNA-Met
Source: RNAcentral